GACGAACGCUGGCGGCGUGCUUAACACAUGCAAGUCGAACGGAAAGACCCUGCUUUUGUGGGGUGCUCGAGUGGCGAACGGGUGAGUAACACGUGAGUAACCUGCCCUUGACUUUGGGAUAACUUCAGGAAACUGGGGCUAAUACCGGAUAGGAGCUCCUGCUGCAUGGAGGGGGUUGGACAGUUUCGGCGGUUGGGGAUGGACUCGCGGCUUAUCAGCUUGUUGGUGGGGUAGUGGCUUACCAAGGCUUUGACUGGUAGCCGGCCUGAGAGGGUGACCGGCCACAUUGGGACUGAGAUACCGCCCAGCCUCCUACGGGAGGCAGCAGUCGGGAAUAUUGCACGAUGGGCGGAAGCCUGAUGCAGCAACGCCGCGUGCGGGAUGACGGCCUUCGGGUUGUAAACCGCUUUCGCCUGUGACGAAGCGUGAGUGACGGUAAUGGGUAAAGAAGCACCGGCUAACUACGUG
Molecule: ribosomal RNA, 468 nt
Filed under: uncultured bacterium
Lineage: Bacteria
Description: partial 16S ribosomal RNA
Rfam family: Bacterial small subunit ribosomal RNA
Source: RNAcentral